AAGAAGUAAAUGCAGACGAAACUUGGCCCAAAUAUCGUGUACAUGUUAAGAGAUAUCACGAUUUAAAUACUCAGUUAUUUAAGAUAGACAGGAAAUUGGAGAACUUAAGUUGCAAAAUAAAUACAGUUAUAACGAAUCAAGGAAAACUAUACAGAUGUUUGCUUCCUCAGGAAAAGAAAAUACUGGAACCACAUAACAUGCCUUCUUUGCCUUUUCGUAACGAAUUUUAGUGUGAUUAUCUUACCUCUUUUGGAUCUGCUAGUGAUGAAAGAAAAACUGCUACCAUAAUUAUGCAAAAACUUAUGUAUAAUUCUUUGGCCAAAAAUUAUAAUUUUGAUGGCCAUGGUGAGAAAAGAGGUUUAAAAACACUGCAACUGUGGACAGUUAUUGAAGGGUUUUUGUCACUUAAAUUUCCGGACAGCGACCUUGAUACAGCACUUAAAACCAUAAAGUCAUGGUUACAAAAUGCUAGCGGUAGGAAACAAGAGGAAUAUAUUGGCUUUGAUAGCCAUUAGAAAAACAUUUCUCUCUUUUGUUGCGGAGAUCUCAGAGAGUCGGCGAGUCUCGAAGGCGAAACUUCUGCGCAAAGUGGUAGACGAAAUCCACCGUGAUCCGCAACACCUUAUGCUGACGACGGAUUAUAUUCUCAUUGUAUUCGCCGUUCCCUUCGAUCAUGCCUGUGACAGGAUUGCUAAACCACUCUUUAAAUUCGCGAUGAGACUGGAAAACGUUAGGCAUAAGAAAGUGCAUGAGCGACCACAGUUCCAUUAAAUUAUUCUUGAUAUUUUGCGCCUCGUCUAAGAUAAGAUAUUUUUAUUUUUUCCGUGUAAAGCUUUGGUAAUCCUGUAUUACUAACUUUAGCUAAUAAGUAGCUGCUAAUUGGCUGUUAUUAAUUUAUUACCUUCCUACUUUAGCGUAAAUGUUAAACGGGUUGUUUCUUGUCGCUCUUCUCAAGUUGUGAGAAUAAGUAAGAAAAAAUUGUGUUGCUAGAUUUUUAUAGCUCCCUUUUUUUUAUAUAUAUAGAAUUGAGACACGGAGUUUGAUAAGUACAAUUGUCUAUGUAUGCAGGCGAACACAGGUGCAAGUUUCCGUAGUAAUAAUUUAUGUUCUGCGAAAAAUAUUUAUUUAUAAUGAUUGCACAAAAAAUAGAUCAAGCAUCACGAUGUUUAAUUUGUUCAUUUUUUUAAAUACUAGUGUGUAUAUAAGAAAGUCUCCUUUUUUUUUCUUUAAUAAAUAUGAUAUGUGCCGAAACUGAAACAGGAAUUGUCGCGUGAAAAAAUAUGUAUACAUCAUCGAUAUAACGUGUUGUAACAUGUAACGUAAGAAUAUUAAACAUUUGUAAGGCGUAA
Long non-coding RNA from Temnothorax curvispinosus, 1349 nucleotides. RefSeq lists it as uncharacterized. The record is from RefSeq and is a predicted model, not a curated record. Lineage: Eukaryota; Metazoa; Arthropoda; Insecta; Hymenoptera; Formicidae. The transcript has 3 exons.